RNAcentral lists this long non-coding RNA (872 nucleotides) under Daucus carota (carrot). RNAcentral describes it as "long non-coding RNA (DCAR_LNC007015)". The record is from RNAcentral. Lineage: Eukaryota; Viridiplantae; Streptophyta; Magnoliopsida; Apiales; Apiaceae.
GAAACUUGAGUACUACUACUGCAUCAUCAAAACGCAGAAAGCAAGAAAUGGAGUAUCAUGUAAAAAGAAAAUGUGUAGGUAAAGUGAGUGGGCUUGGUGGCACUGUUCUGUCAGACACUCACACUACACUAGUGCUUGCGGGACGAGACACCUCGUUUGUCGUUUAGUCUUCCCAGACGACACUGUUCAUCCAAUGAAUAUCGCUUUUGGGAAGGACACAGAUCAACACAAACUUCAAAUUGGAGACCGGUAACAGACAUAUAUGGAUGAAACAGUGCUUACGAGACCAUCUCUAAUGCAAUUUAAAGAUUAAUCUAAAAAAGUUUUAAUUUCAAGUAGAUCCAAGUAAUUAUAAUGAACGUUAUAAAUCUCAAAGAAAAAGAACCCCGCCGCAGAUUUGUGCAUGAGAUGUAAGCAUCGGGCCAUCUGCCGAUCUGCGUACCCCGUUGCAAGUUGCAACAGAGAAAUAUAUCCGGGACAAUUGAAACCCCACCUGCUGAAUAAUCCAGAACCCUUUUAUCAUAAGCACAAAUGAUGAUACACUACACCGUACACCCAUCUGCUGCUUUGUUCUCUUUUGGCACUGAUAUUUAUUCUCUUUCCUUUUGUGCCUUGAGCUUAUAUUUGGUGUUUAGACACAGGAGAUAUAUCCUCCAUCAUAUGACUCAUAGCUUAUAGCUGUUUACUAGAUCUAAUAAUUCAUGGAGCAGAACCCUAUAUCAUUUGGAGCUGCUGAUCGAAAGACUGUAGAGAAAAAUAGAAGAAAUUAUAUGAAAGACCUCUACUCCAAGCUCCAUUCUCUUAUCCCUCAUGAUAGCUCAUCUCUGGUCUCUCUCUCUCCCUCCCUCCCUCUCUCUCUCUCUCCUUUUCUC